Molecule: ribosomal RNA, 394 nt
Filed under: uncultured bacterium
Lineage: Bacteria
Description: bacterial SSU rRNA
Rfam family: Bacterial small subunit ribosomal RNA
Source: RNAcentral
AUUGAACGCUGGCGGUAGGCCUAACACAUGCAAGUCGAACGCGAAAGUCCUUCGGAUGAGUAGAGUGGCGGACGGGUGGAGUAACGCGUAGGAAUCUAUCCUGUAGUGGGGGAUAACGUUUCGAAAGGAACGCUAAUACCGCAUACGCCCCAAGGGGGAAAGCGGGGAGUCUUCGGACCUCGUGCUAUAGGAGGAGCCUGCGUCGGAUUAGCUAGUUGGUGAGGUAAAGGCUCACCAAGGCGACGAUCCGUAGCUGGUCUGAGAGGAUGAUCAGCCACACCGGAACUGAGACACGGUCCGGACUCCUACGGGAGGCAGCAGUGGGGAAUAUUGCGCAAUGGGCGAAAGCCUGACGCAGCCAUACCGCGUGUGUGAAGAAGGCCUCGGUUGUAAG